CCUACGGGAGGCAGCAGUGAGGAAUAUUGGUCAAUGGGCUUACGCCUGAACCAGCCAAGUCGCGUGAGGGAUGACGGCCCUACGGGUUGUAAACCUCUUUUGCCGGGGAGCAACGGGCGCCACGUGUGGCGCCACUGAGAGUCCCCGGAGAAAAAGCAUCGGCUAACUCCGUGCCAGCAGCCGCGGUAAUACGGAGGAUUCAAGCGUUAUCCGGAUUUAUUGGGUUUAAAGGAUGCGUAGGCGGUCGGUUAAGUUGGUGGUGAAAUCCCGAGGCUCAACUUCGGAAUUGCCUCGGAUACUGUGCGGCUAGAGUGUAGUUGCGGUAGGCGGAAUGUAUGGUGUAGCGGUGACAUGCUUAGAGAUCAUACAGAACACCGAUUGCGAAGGCAGCAUACCGGCGCCCAACUGACGCUGAAGCACGAAGGUGUGGGUAUCGAACAGGAUUAGAUACCCCUGUAGUC
This 461-nucleotide ribosomal RNA is filed under the name uncultured bacterium. RNAcentral describes it as "partial 16S ribosomal RNA". It matches the Rfam family "Bacterial small subunit ribosomal RNA", at positions 338 to 795 of the family's 1533-position model. The record is from RNAcentral.